UGACGGUAUCCAACCAGAAAGCCACGGCUAACUACGUGCCAGCAGCCGCGGUAAUACGUAGGUGGCAAGCGUUAUCCGGAUUUAUUGGGCGUAAAGCGAGCGCAGGCGGUUUUUUAAGUCUGAUGUGAAAGCCCUCGGCUUAACCGAGGAAGUGCAUCGGAAACUGGGAAACUUGAGUGCAGAAGAGGACAGUGGAACUCCAUGUGUAGCGGUGAAAUGCGUAGAUAUAUGGAAGAACACCAGUGGCGAAGGCGGCUGUCUGGUCUGUAACUGACGCUGAGGCUCGAAAGCAUGGGUAGCGAACAGGAUUAGAUACCCUGGUAGUCCAUGCCGUAAACGAUGAAUGCUAGGUGUUGGAGGGUUUCCGCCCUUCAGUGCCGCAGCUAACGCAUUAAGCAUUCCGCCUGGGGAGUACGACCGCAAGGUUGAAACUCAAAGGAAUUGACGGGGGCCCGCACAAGCGGUGGAGCAUGUGGUUUAAUUCGAAGCAACGCGAAGAACCUUACCAGGUCUUGACAUCUUUUGAUCACCUGAGAGAUCAGGUUUCCCCUUCGGGGGCAAAAUGACAGGUGGUGCAUGGUUGUCGUCAGCUCGUGUCGUGAGAUGUUGGGUUAAGUCCCGCAACGAGCGCAACCCUUAUGACUAGUUGCCAGCAUUUAGUUGGGCACUCUAGUAAGACUGCCGGUGACAAACCGGAGGAAGGUGGGGAUGACGUCAAAUCAUCAUGCCCCUUAUGACCUGGGCUACACACGUGCUACAAUGGAUGGUACAACGAGUUGCGAGACCGCGAGGUCAAGCUAAUCUCUUAAAGCCAUUCUCAGUUCGGACUGUAGGCUGCAACUCGCCUACACGAAGUCGGAAUCGCUAGUAAUCGCGGAUCAGCACGCCGCGGUGAAUACGUUCCCGGGCCUUGUACACACCGCCCGUCACACCAUG
This 936-nucleotide ribosomal RNA is filed under the name Lacticaseibacillus rhamnosus. Its description in RNAcentral is "bacterial SSU rRNA". It matches the Rfam family "Bacterial small subunit ribosomal RNA", at positions 470 to 1406 of the family's 1533-position model. The record is from RNAcentral. Lineage: Bacteria; Bacillati; Bacillota; Bacilli; Lactobacillales; Lactobacillaceae.